This 292-nucleotide ribosomal RNA is filed under the name uncultured bacterium. RNAcentral's name for it is "partial 16S ribosomal RNA". It matches the Rfam family "Bacterial small subunit ribosomal RNA", at positions 505 to 796 of the family's 1533-position model. The record is from RNAcentral.
GUGCCAGCAGCCGCGGUAAGACGAACCGUCCAAACGUUAUUCGGAAUCACUGGGCUUAAAGGGUGCGUAGGCGGUCCGGCAAGUUGGGUGUGAAAGCCCUCGGCUCAACCGAGGAACUGCGCCCAAAACUGCCGGGCUCGAGGGAGACAUAGGUGUGCGGAACCUAGGGUGGAGCGGUGAAAUGCGUUGAGAUCCUAGGGAACACCAGUAGCGAAAGCGGCACACUGGGUCUCUUCUGACGCUGAUGCACGAAAGCUAGGGGAGCGAAGAGGAUUAGAUACCCUCGUAGUCC